Molecule: small nuclear RNA, 181 nt
Filed under: Saimiri boliviensis boliviensis (Bolivian squirrel monkey)
Lineage: Eukaryota; Metazoa; Chordata; Mammalia; Primates; Cebidae
Description: U2 spliceosomal RNA (ENSSBOG00000008476.1)
Rfam family: U2 spliceosomal RNA
About the family: U2 is a small nuclear RNA (snRNA) component of the spliceosome (involved in pre-mRNA splicing).
Source: Rfam by way of RNAcentral
AUCGCUUCUCAGCCUUUUGGCUAAGAUCAAGCAUAGUGUCUCUUCUUAUCAGUUUAAUAUCUGAUACAUCCUUUAUCCAAGGACAAUAUAUUAAAUAUAUUUUUGAAGUCAGGAGAUGGAAUAGGAGCUUGCUCCAAAAAAAAAAAAAAAAUCUGUCAAGGUCCUUUUCCUUUUCCUCACU